RNAcentral lists this small RNA (28 nucleotides) under Bombyx mori (domestic silkworm). Its description in RNAcentral is "ovarian small RNA-34855". The record is from RNAcentral. Lineage: Eukaryota; Metazoa; Arthropoda; Insecta; Lepidoptera; Bombycidae.
UGGCCUUUACUGAGCACUUUGCGCAUGG